GCCAGGCAUGGUAGUAUACACCUGUAUUUCUAGCUACUUGAGAGGCUGAGGCAGAAGGAUCAUUUGGGCCCUGGAUUUCUGGGCUGUGGUGUGCUAUUCUGAUCUGGUGUCUUCACUAAACUCAGCAUCAAUAUGGUAACCUUCUGGGAGCAGGAGACCACCAGGUUUCCUAAGGAAGGGUGAACCAGCCAAGUUAAGAAACAGAGCAAGUCAAAACUCACAUGCUGAUCAGUAGCAGUAUCGCUCCAUGAAAAGGCACUGCACUUCCAGCCAGGGUAACAUAGCGAGACUCCACCUUAA
Callithrix jacchus (white-tufted-ear marmoset) is the source of this 300-nucleotide non-coding RNA. The record is from Rfam. NCBI's taxonomy places the organism in Eukaryota, Metazoa, Chordata, Mammalia, Primates, Cebidae.